UACGUAGGGGGCAAGCGUUGUCCGGAAUCAUUGGGCGUAAAGCGCGCGUAGGCGGCCCGAUAAGUCCGCUGUAAAAGUCCAGGGCUCAACCCUGGAAAGCCGGUGGAUACUGUCAGGCUCGAGUCCGGAAGAGGCGAGUGGAAUUCCUGGUGUAGCGGUGGAAUGAGCAGAUAUCAGGAGGAACACCGAUAGCGAAGGCAGCUCGCUGGGACGGUACUGACGCUAAGGCGCGAAAGCGUGGGGAGCGAACAGG
Molecule: ribosomal RNA, 253 nt
Filed under: uncultured bacterium
Lineage: Bacteria
Description: partial 16S ribosomal RNA
Rfam family: Bacterial small subunit ribosomal RNA
Source: RNAcentral